GAUGAACGCUGGCGGCGUGCCUAAUACAUGCAAGUCGAGCGAACGGACGAGAAGCUUGCUUCUCUGAUGUUAGCGGCGGACGGGUGAGUAACACGUGGAUAACCUACCUAUAAGACUGGGAUAACUUCGGGAAACCGGAGCUAAUACCGGAUAAUAUUUUGAACCGCAUGGUUCAAAAGUGAAAGACGGUCUUGCUGUCACUUAUAGAUGGAUCCGCGCUGCAUUAGCUAGUUGGUAAGGUAACGGCUUACCAAGGCAACGAUGCAUAGCCGACCUGAGAGGGUGAUCGGCCACACUGGAACUGAGACACGGUCCAGACUCCUACGGGAGGCAGCAGUAGGGAAUCUUCCGCAAUGGGCGAAAGCCUGACGGAGCAACGCCGCGUGAGUGAUGAAGGUCUUCGGAUCGUAAAACUCUGUUAUUAGGGAAGAACAUAUGUGUAAGUAACUGUGCACAUCUUGACGGUACCUAAUCAGAAAGCCACGGCUAACUACGUGCCAGCAGCCGCGGUAAUACGUAGGUGGCAAGCGUUAUCCGGAAUUAUUGGGCGUACAGCGCGCGUAGGCGGUUUUUUAAGUCUGAUGUGAAAGCCCACGGCUCAACCGUGGAGGGUCAUUGGAAACUGUUAAACUUGAGUGCAGGAGAGAAAAGUGGAAUUCCUAGUGUAGCGGUGAAAUGCGUAGAGAUUAGGGGGAACACCAGUGGCGAAGGCGGCUUUUUGGCCUGUAACUGACACUGAGGCGCGAAAGCGUGGGGAGCAAACAGGAUUAGAUACCCUGGUAGUCCACGCCGUAAACGAUGAGUGCUAAGUGUUGGUCUCAUAAGAGAUCAGUGCUGCAGCUAACGCAUUAAGCACUCCGCCUGGGGAGUACGACCGCAAGGUUGAAACUCAAAGGAAUUGACGGGGACCCGCACAAGCGGUGGAGCAUGUGGUUUAAUUCGAAGCAACGCGAAGAACCUUACCAAGUCUUGACAUACUGUGAGGACACAAGAGAUUGUGUUGUUCUGACCUUUGGUUAGACACAGAUACAGGUGGUGCAUGGUUGUCGUCAGCUCGUGUCGUGAGAUGUUGGGUUAAGUCCCGCAACGAGCGCAACCCUUAUAUCUAGUUGCCAGCAGUAAGAUGGGGACUCUAGAUAGACUGCCAGUGAUAAACUGGAGGAAGGUGGGGAUGACGUCAAAUCAUCAUGCCCCUUAUGACUUGGGCUACACACGUGCUACAAUGGAUAGGAACAAAGAGAAGCGAGCUCGCGAGAGUAAGCAAACCUCACAAAACUAUUCUCAGUUCGGAUUGUAGUCUGCAACUCGACUACAUGAAGCUGGAAUCGCUAGUAAUCGCGAAUCAGAAUGUCGCGGUGAAUACGUUCCCGGGUCU
Molecule: ribosomal RNA, 1375 nt
Filed under: uncultured bacterium
Lineage: Bacteria
Description: bacterial SSU rRNA
Rfam family: Bacterial small subunit ribosomal RNA
Source: RNAcentral